UUUGUUCCAGGAUAUGCAUCAUUUCUAGUAUAGUUGUUUCUAGGUUGGAAUUCAUUUCUAGGUGUUCUAAGAGGUUCAAAAUUCCUUCUAGUGUUUGGCCUAGAAUGUGCAUUAUUUCUAGCAUGAUUAUUUCUAGGUUGCGAAUUGAUGAAAACCAUUUCUAGGUUUGUUGUAUCUAGGAUGAACAUUUGUUUUAUUUAUCCUAGGUUGAGCCUUAGGAGGUUGGGGGUUGGCUUCAACUUUCUCUUUAGGCUCGUUUCUAAAACCUAUGCCAUGCUUGGUCGACUUCAAAUUAACAAGCACUUCAUUCAAAUUUUNNN
This 320-nucleotide long non-coding RNA is filed under the name Nicotiana benthamiana. Its description in RNAcentral is "long non-coding RNA (NBEN_LNC007811)". Lineage: Eukaryota; Viridiplantae; Streptophyta; Magnoliopsida; Solanales; Solanaceae. The record is from RNAcentral.